RNAcentral lists this ribosomal RNA (654 nucleotides) under Entomortierella parvispora. Its description in RNAcentral is "eukaryotic LSU rRNA". It matches the Rfam family "Eukaryotic large subunit ribosomal RNA", at positions 98 to 625 of the family's 3401-position model. The record is from RNAcentral. Lineage: Eukaryota; Fungi; Mortierellomycota; Mortierellomycetes; Mortierellales; Mortierellaceae.
GCGGGAUGAGCUCAAAUUUAAAAUCUGGCUGGUUUACUAGUCCGAAUUGUAGUUUAAAGAAGCGUUUUCGGUGGCAGUCUCGGUAUAAAUCCUUUGGAAUAGGGUAUCAUAGAGGGUGAGAAUCCCGUCUUUGACUGAGAAUUUGCUACUAUGUGAUACGUUUUCAAAGAGUCGAGUUGUUUGGGAAUGCAGCUCAAAAUGGGUGGUAAAUUUCAUCUAAAGCUAAAUAUUGGCGAGAGACCGAUAGCGAACAAGUACCGUGAGGGAAAGAUGAAAAGAACUUUGAAAAGAGAGUUAAACAGUGCGUGAAAUUGUUGAAAGGGAAACGCUUGAAACCAGUCAUGUGGUUGGAAAAUCAGUGUUCAAUUGGGGGGAAUGGGGGAGGUGUGGACCGCAAGGCUGCUCUUUUCUAUAUCUCUUUUGUUGGGCAUGCACUUUUUCUGCCGCAGGUCAACAUCAGUUUCUUUUGCUGGACAAAACUCUUGAGAAGGUAGCAGCUUAGGCUGUGUUAUAGCUCUGGAGCGAUACAGUGAAGGGGACUGAGGUUUUCGCAGCAUGUGCUCUCGGGCAAGGCCAAUUGGGUGCUAUGGGAUCGUUCGGGGUACAAUACAUGUAUUUUGCUUCGUGUCCUUUCUAUACUCGUUCAAUUGAGCU